CUUUACUUACCUGUCAUGUUAAUUAUCGAGAGUAUACCUAUUAAAAACACAUGAAUAUGUUUUUUUUAGCUCCUUUGUCGUCCUCGAGACGGAAACGUGAUUCUUCUUCUCUUAACUGGUCAAAUAUUCCUUUUGAUCGGCUUUUGACUAUGUUGCUGUGUGUGGUCGGGGCCCCGACGCAUGGAUUGCUCGGCUGAAGGGACAGCGGGUGUGUUGGUCUCAACGGUGGGGUGGUGUGCUGGGCCUCGGCGGUGAGGCCGAAUGUUUGGUGAAUUUGAGUGUGUGCAGCCGGGGCUCCGACGUGAGGUGUGCUCAGCUGCUGAGACGGCAGGUGCGCUGGUCUUGACUGUGAGGUGCCGUGUCUCCACGAGAGGCCUCGGCGGCGAGGCUGAAUGGGCGGCCAGGGCUCCGGCGCGAGGUGGAUUCGGCUGCUACUACGGCGGGUGCGCUGGUCUAGGCUGCGAGGUGUUGGAACAAGAGGCCUCGGCGGCGAGGCUGAAGGAGUGGCCGGGGCUCCGGCGCGUGUGCGGACCGGCUGCUACUUGGGCGUUUCGGUGGGCUCGGUGGCGCUGGACUGCUUCAUGGUCUGGAGGUUCCGCAGCGGGGGUUCUCCCUUCGCUGUUCAUGCAGCAGCUGCGGGCGAGGCUGGUUCCAGCUUUGAACCCAAAAGUGGGCCUCUCGGGCUCUGGCUCCGCUGUUACCACCACUUCCCCGAGGUGCUGCUGCGGAGGUUCCUCCCUUGCUACAGGAUCCUGCGGCAGCUGCGGCCGUUGCUGGUUCCAGCUCGAUCCGAAAGCGGGCCUCGAGUGGUUCAGGUAGGAGUGGUGUCGGACGGGUCGUUUGGCAGAGGCCGUUGUACGGCUGGCAGGAGCGGGUUCGGUGUACUGGUUCGUGCGUUUCGUCGUGCGGCGGCGGUUGGUGGUGGCCGACGUCUUUGGUAACGUCGGGUGGUGCGAGGUGUUCGGCCCAGACCCUCCUUCAUCGCGACGCUUGUCGGGGGCCGUCCUGGUGGGCGUGGUACGUCUCCGGUGUUGGGCCCCACGGGUCGUCGGGUUUGGCCGUGGUGCGGCCGGCCCCGUGUGGUGUUGGGGAAGGGUCUCCCGGUCGAGACGGUUUGUCGAGGCGGUUCGGUCCCUCCGGCCUUCUACGUCGAGGUCUAGGUGGGUACCGGCGGUGCUCGACCGCCGGGUGGUGGUGCGCGCAAGCGGGAUGGCGGGCGCGCCGGGUCCUGCCGAUCGCGGCGGCGUAGGGCGGCUGCCGGACGCGGGACGACCUAGGCCCGUGCUUCGGGCGUAGGCGGCAGUUGGCCGUGCGGCGGUACUGAGGUGGCGUUCCUCCUCCCUUCCUGCUGCGACGGCGUUAGACCCCGGCGGCGGGGUCGCGGGUCGCGGUGGCGCGUCGUCUUCUCCGGUCAUCCGGUCUAGGCGGGGCCGCAUGCCGGGGCACUUCGUGCGGCUCGGCAAGUCCCGGCAGGUCGCGCGUGCUGUCUCGUUCCUCUCCGGGCGGUGACGGCCGACGGUGUGCCCGAAACGGGCCGCCACUGCGGGCUGGCGUCGUUCCCCCCGCUCCCGAUUCACCUCCCCCCGCCGCCGCACGUUCCAAAGCGGGCUCAGCGGGGGCGGACCUCUCGCUGCGCUCGCCGUUCAACAGAACGACACAUGAAUAUGUUACUUACUUGUAAUGUUAAUGAAAAUAUCACUACAACCAACGUAUCUUUAAGAUCGAAAGACACAAUAAAGAAUACGACUAAAAGAAUAAGAAACGAUAUUAACACACACCAAAGGAUCCCACCUCUCCGCUUGGAGUUUACGCGUUGUAGACUAGAACGAACGACCCAACGAUAAGGACCUGGUAACUUAUCAUGAGUCUCGUAUGUGGAUAAGCACGGAGUAAUACGACGUGAACCUACUUCAAAGGAUCUUAUCAACCGUCAAAUGUAACUGUACCGUCCGUCCCUACACCUUACUGUUUUCUACUAUGAGGGAGGCAAGAUUUUAUCUACUGAGUUGAAAUAUGAUUGAAAUCAUAUUUCAAUCAUAUUUCAACCCAGUAGAUAAAACCUUACCUCCCUCAUAAAACCUUCUCGACCAAGACCUCGACUACAUAUGCAUGAAACUCAUGAAGGUUAUUACAAAAGAUGAAGGUUUCAACAAACCCACCAUUUAAUAAAAUGUUCAAACGUUCGUAUAUAAAUAAUUAAAAGGUGGGCAACGUGGCGUGUACGGAAAACCGAACCGGAAGCGGGAGGUGCGUGCGGUCGACGCCACCUUCCGAUCGAGGAUGUCGAGACAUCACUCCGUGCGUCUCUCACUGCUGUUGAAGACUUCGGUACCGAUCGGACACUAAUAGUCUCACCGCUACUCACACUAAACCUAUGGACAAAACAAACGAGGAAGACAAAACUAAACUCAACUACCCCUACUCUACACUGGGACGACAACCCGCAGCGUUUACGGUGCCGAGGUACAUACGGGGUCGAAACCACUACGUGCUGGGAUUAGUUUACCAGACGACGUCAAAUUAAGAUAUGUACCUACCGUGCUAGAGUGACAACAGGUUUUUAGCAGAAUAACCACAGCACACGUAUAUAAAUAAUUACCUAAGUCAAA
Molecule: ribosomal RNA, 2609 nt
Filed under: Triticum aestivum (bread wheat)
Lineage: Eukaryota; Viridiplantae; Streptophyta; Magnoliopsida; Poales; Poaceae
Description: partial small subunit ribosomal RNA
Source: RNAcentral